This is a non-coding RNA of Tinamus guttatus (white-throated tinamou), 451 nucleotides long. Lineage: Eukaryota; Metazoa; Chordata; Aves; Tinamiformes; Tinamidae. The record is from RefSeq and is a predicted model, not a curated record.
UUCACUGGACAAGUGUUUUACGCUUUCUUCAGCAUAACUUUAAAUGGACAUUGUUUUACCCCGUUCUGCAAAGGAGCUGGUAUUUCUACAACUCAUGCUGUCAUGAGGCUGUGAGGGGUGCUGAAGAUGUCCGAUAGUUUGGAUAUUGAAGAGAAACCUCCAGCCCCGCCGUUGAGAAUGAACAGCAACAAUCGCGAUUCCUCAGCACUAAACCACAGCUCAAAACCGCUCCCCAUGGCCCCGGAGGAGAAGAACAAGAAAGCCAGGCUUCGCUCCAUCUUCCCAGGAGGAGGGGAUAAAACCAACAAGAAGAAAGAGAAAGAGCGUCCUGAGAUCUCUCUUCCUUCAGACUUUGAACAUACGAUUCAUGUGGGGUUUGAUGCUGUCACUGGAGAAUUCACACCAGAUCUCUAUGGCUCACAGAUGUGCACAGGGAAGCUUCCAGAGGUGC